RNAcentral lists this ribosomal RNA (98 nucleotides) under Bacillus sp. MM2020_4. Its description in RNAcentral is "partial 16S ribosomal RNA". It matches the Rfam family "Bacterial small subunit ribosomal RNA", at positions 1 to 95 of the family's 1533-position model. The record is from RNAcentral. Lineage: Bacteria; Bacillati; Bacillota; Bacilli; Caryophanales; Bacillaceae. RNAcentral also lists the same sequence under 1 other name.
UUCUUGGAGAGUUUGAUCCUGGCUCAGGACGAACGCUGGCGGCGUGCCUAAUACAUGCAAGUCGAGCGGAUCUUUGGGAGCUUGCUCCCAUUGGUUAG